This 66-nucleotide transfer RNA is filed under the name Phascolopsis gouldii. Its description in RNAcentral is "tRNA-Gln". Lineage: Eukaryota; Metazoa; Annelida; Sipuncula; Golfingiida; Sipunculidae. The record is from RNAcentral.
UAUAGAAUAGUGUAAAUGCACAUAGGCCUUUGAUCCCUAUAGUUAAGACUAAUCCUUUUUCUAUAA